UACGUAGGUGGCAAGCGUUGUCCGGAGUUAUUGGGCGUAAAGCGCGCGUAGGCGGCCCCGCAAGUCGGCCGUGAAAUCUCCCAGCUCAACUGGGAGGGGUCGGGCGAGACUGCGGGGCUCGAGGUGGGUAGAGGGCAGUGGAAUUCCGGGUGUAGUGGUGGAAUGCGUAGAGAUCCGGAGGAACACCAGUGGCGAAGGCGGCUGCCUGGGCCUGGCCUGACGCUGAGGCGCGAAAGCGUGGGGAGCGAUCCGG
This 253-nucleotide ribosomal RNA is filed under the name uncultured bacterium. Its description in RNAcentral is "partial 16S ribosomal RNA". It matches the Rfam family "Bacterial small subunit ribosomal RNA", at positions 524 to 776 of the family's 1533-position model. The record is from RNAcentral.